GACGAACGCUGGCGGCGUGCUUAACACAUGCAAGUCGAGCGGUAAGGCCCUUUCGGGGGUACACGAGCGGCGAACGGGUGAGUAACACGUGGGUGACCUGCCCUUAGCUCUGGGAUAAGCCUGGGAAACUGGGUCUAAUACCGGAUAUGACUCCAUGACGCAUGUUGUGGGGUGGAAAGCCUUGUGCGGCUAGGGGAUGGGCCCGCGGCCUAUCAGCUUGUUGGUGGGGUGAUGGCCUACCAAGGCGACGACGGGUAGCCGGCCUGAGAGGGCGACCGGCCACACUGGGACUGAGACACGGCCCAGACUCCUACGGGAGGCAGCAGUGGGGAAUCUUGCGCAAUGGGCGAAAGCCUGACGCAGCGACGCCGCGUGAGGGAUGACGGCCUCGG
Molecule: ribosomal RNA, 392 nt
Filed under: uncultured bacterium
Lineage: Bacteria
Description: bacterial SSU rRNA
Rfam family: Bacterial small subunit ribosomal RNA
Source: RNAcentral